AUCCAGCUGACGUAUCUCAAAUAGGAUAAAAUGCGCAUCCGGGAU
This 45-nucleotide non-coding RNA is filed under the name Trichobilharzia regenti. The record is from RNAcentral. Lineage: Eukaryota; Metazoa; Platyhelminthes; Trematoda; Strigeidida; Schistosomatidae.